UACGUAGGCAGCAAGCGUUGUUCGGAGUUACUGGGCGUAAAGGGUGUGUAGGCGGUUUUUUAAGUUUGGUGUGAAAUCUCCCGGCUCAACUGGGAGGGUGCGCCGAAUACUGAAAGACUAGAGUGCGGGAGAGGAAAGGUGGAAUUCCUGGUGUAGCGGUGAAAUGACGUAGAUAUCAGGAGGAACACCGGUGGUGUAGACGGCUUUCUGGACCGUAACUGACGCUGAGACACGAAAGCGUGGGUAGCAAACAGG
This 255-nucleotide ribosomal RNA is filed under the name uncultured bacterium. Its description in RNAcentral is "partial 16S ribosomal RNA". It matches the Rfam family "Bacterial small subunit ribosomal RNA", at positions 524 to 776 of the family's 1533-position model. The record is from RNAcentral.